AGAUUGAACGCUGGCGGCAUGCCUAACGCAUGCAAGUCGAACGGGAGUAGCAAUACUCUAGUGGCGGACGGGUGAGGAAUACGUAGGAAUUUGCCCUUAAGUGGGGGAUAACCCGGGGAAACCCGGAUUAAUACCGCAUGACCUCGAAAGAGCAAAGUGGGGGAUCGCAAGACCUCACGCCUUUGGAGAAGCCUACGUCGGAUUAGCUAGUUGGUGAGGUAAUGGCUCACCAAGGCGACGAUCCGUAACUGGUCUGAGAGGAUGAUCAGUCACACCGGAACUGAGACACGGUCCGGACUCCUACGGGAGGCAGCAGUGGGGAAUAUUGGACAAUGGGCGCAAGCCUGAUCCAGCAAUGCCGCGUGUGUGAAGAAGGCCUUCGGUUGUAAAGCAACUUUAAGUUAGGGAAAGAAAAAACUCGACUACUAACACAGUAGAGUCUUGACGGUACCGACAGAAUAAGCACCGGACUAACUCUGUGCCAGCACGCCG
Molecule: ribosomal RNA, 492 nt
Filed under: uncultured soil bacterium
Lineage: Bacteria
Description: bacterial SSU rRNA
Rfam family: Bacterial small subunit ribosomal RNA
Source: RNAcentral